RNAcentral lists this ribosomal RNA (437 nucleotides) under uncultured bacterium. RNAcentral describes it as "partial 16S ribosomal RNA". It matches the Rfam family "Bacterial small subunit ribosomal RNA", at positions 29 to 507 of the family's 1533-position model. The record is from RNAcentral.
AGCGAACGCUGGCGGCAGGCUUAACACAUGCAAGUCGAGCGGGCAUCCUUGUGGUGUCAGCGGCAGACGGGUGAGUAACGCGUGGGAACGUGCCCUUCGGUUCGGAAUAACUCAGGGAAACUUGAGCUAAUACCGGAUACGUGCGAGAGCAGAAAGGUUUAUCUGCCGAAGGAUCGGCCCGCGUCUGAUUAGCUAGUUGGUGAGGUUACGGCUCACCAAGGCGACGAUCAGUAGCUGGUCUGAGAGGAUGAUCAGCCACACUGGGACUGAGACACGGCCCAGACUCCUACGGGAGGCAGCAGUGGGGAAUAUUGGACAAUGGGGGCAACCCUGAUCCAGCCAUGCCGCGUGAGUGAUGACGGCCUUAGGGUUGUAAAGCUCUUUUCUCCGGGACGAUAAUGACGGUACCGGAGGAAUAAGCCCCGACUAACUUCGUG